GUUGUUGGGUAGGGGAGCGUUCUGUAAGCCUGCGAAGGUGUGCUGUGAGGCAUGCUGGAGGUAUCAGAAGUGCGAAUGCUGACAUAAGUAACGAUAAAGCGGGUGAAAAGCCCGCUCGCCGGAAGACCAAGGGUUCCUGUCCAACGUUAAUCGGGGCAGGGUGAGUCGACCCCUAAGGCGAGGCCGAAAGGCGUAGUCGAUGGGAAACAGGUUAAUAUUCCUGUACUUGGUGUUACUGCGAAGGGGGGACGGAGAAGGCUAUGUUGGCCGGGCGACGGUUGUCCCGGUUUAAGCGUGUAGGCUGGUUUUCCAGGCAAAUCCGGAAAAUCAAGGCUGAGGCGUGAUGACGAGGCACUACGGUGCUGAAGCAACAAAUGCCCUGCUUCCAGGAAAAGCCUCUAAGCAUCAGGUAACAUCAAAUCGUACCCCAAACCGACACAGGUGGUCAGGUAGAGAAUACCAAGGCGCUUGAGAGAACUCGGGUGAAGGAACUAGGCAAAAUGGUGCCGUAACUUCGGGAGAAGGCACGCUGAUAUGUAGGUGAAGUCCCUCGUGGAGCUGAAAUCAGUCGAAGAUACCAGCUGGCUGCAACUGUUUAUUAAAAACACAGCACUGUGCAAACACGAAAGUGGACGUAUACGGUGUGACGCCUGCCCGGUGCCGGAAGGUUAAUUGAUGGGGUCAGCGCAAGCGAAGCUCUUGAUCGAAGCCCCGGUAAACGGCGGCCGUAACUAUAACGGUCCUAAGGUAGCGAAAUUCCUUGUCGGGUAAGUUCCGACCUGCACGAAUGGCGUAAUGAUGGCCAGGCUGUCUCCACCCGAGACUCAGUGAAAUUGAACUCGCUGUGAAGAUGCAGUGUACCCGCGGCAAGACGGAAAGACCCCGUGAACCUUUACUAUAGCUUGACACUGAACAUUGAGCCUUGAUGUGUAGGAUAGGUGGGAGGCUUAGAAGUGUGGACGCCAGUCUGCAUGGAGCCGACCUUGAAAUACCACCCUUUAAUGUUUGAUGUUCUAACGUUGACCCGUGAUCCGGGUUGCGGACAGUGUCUGGUGGGUAGUUUGACUGGGGCGGUCUCCUCCUAAAGAGUAACGGAGGAGCACGAAGGUUGGCUAAUCCUGGUCGGACAUCAGGAGGUUAGUGCAAUGGCAUAAGC
This 1156-nucleotide ribosomal RNA is filed under the name Escherichia coli. RNAcentral's name for it is "partial 23S ribosomal RNA". It matches the Rfam family "Bacterial large subunit ribosomal RNA", at positions 1220 to 2364 of the family's 2925-position model. Lineage: Bacteria; Pseudomonadati; Pseudomonadota; Gammaproteobacteria; Enterobacterales; Enterobacteriaceae. The record is from RNAcentral.